AUUGAACGCUGGCGGCAUGCUUUACACAUGCAAGUCGAACGGCAGCGCGGGCUUCGGCCUGGCGGCGAGUGGCGAACGGGUGAGUAAUGCAUCGGAACGUGCCCAGUAGUGGGGGAUAGUCCGGCGAAAUCCGGAUUAAUACCGCAUACGACCUGAGGGUGAAAGCGGGGGACCGAAAGGCCUCGCGCUAUUGGAGCGGCCGAUGUCGGAUUAGCUAGUUGGUGGGGUAAAGGCUUACCAAGGCGACGAUCCGUAGCUGGUCUGAGAGGACGACCAGCCACACUGGGACUGAGACACGGCCCAGACUCCUACGGGAGGCAGCAGUGGGGAAUUUUGGACAAUGGGGGCAACCCUGAUCCAGCCAUGCCGCGUGCGGGAAGAAGGCCUUCGGGUUGUAAACCGCUUUUGUUCGGGAAGAAAUCCUCUGGGCUAAUACCCCGGGGGGAUGACGGUACCGGAAGAAUAAGCACCGGCUAACUACGUG
Molecule: ribosomal RNA, 484 nt
Filed under: uncultured bacterium
Lineage: Bacteria
Description: partial 16S ribosomal RNA
Rfam family: Bacterial small subunit ribosomal RNA
Source: RNAcentral